RNAcentral lists this long non-coding RNA (471 nucleotides) under Homo sapiens (human). Its description in RNAcentral is "NETO1 divergent transcript (NETO1-DT)". Lineage: Eukaryota; Metazoa; Chordata; Mammalia; Primates; Hominidae. The record is from RNAcentral.
CCCGCCGGACCCCGGGACUACGGAAGCCAUCCCGUCCGGCCACCCACACCCGCGCCGCGGCUGGGGCUUGGGUUGGGGACUGUGGCGGCGAAGAAGCCGGGGGAGGGAGUUCUCACAAGAUCUGAUGGUUUAAGCGUGGCAGUUUCCCCUGAGCUCUCCUUCCUGCUGGUAUGUAAGGCGUGCUUUGCUUCCUCUUCACCUUCCGCCAUGAUUGUACAUUUCCUGAGGCCUCCCCAGCCAUGCAGAACUGCAUACAACUUAGGAUUCAUAACUACAUAUAUACGGAUAGAAGUGCAUGAACAGAAAAUCUGCCCUUCUGGAAUACCAAAUGCAAAAUUAAAGUGACUACAAGCAGAAUUUGGAGAAAAAAAUAAAAGAUGCAAUAUAGUUUUUAAAAUCAUUGUUAAAAUAUAAUGAGUCUGUACUUUGCUUAAACAAUAAAAAAGUCUUCGAUUUAUAAAAAAAAAAAAA